AUUGAACGCUGGCGGCAUGCCUUACACAUGCAAGGUCGAACGGCAGCACGGGAGCAAUCCUGGUGGCGAGUGGCGAACGGGUGAGUAAUAUAUCGGAACGUGCCCAGUCGUGGGGGAUAACGUAGCGAAAGCUACGCUAAUACCGCAUACGAUCUAUGGAUGAAAGCGGGGGAUCGCAAGACCUCGCGCGAUUGGAGCGGCCGAUAUCAGAUUAGGUAGUUGGUGAGGUAAAGGCUCACCAAGCCGACGAUCUGUAGCUGGUCUGAGAGGACGACCAGCCACACUGGGACUGAGACACGGCCCAGACUCCUACGGGAGGCAGCAGUGGGGAAUUUUGGACAAUGGGCGCAAGCCUGAUCCAGCAAUGCCGCGUGCAGGAUGAAGGCCUUCGGGUUGUAAACUGCUUUUGUACGGAACGAAACGGUGAGCUCUAAUACAGUUUGCUAAUGACGGUACCGUAAGAAUAAGCACCGGCUAACUACGUG
This 485-nucleotide ribosomal RNA is filed under the name uncultured bacterium. Its description in RNAcentral is "bacterial SSU rRNA". It matches the Rfam family "Bacterial small subunit ribosomal RNA", at positions 30 to 507 of the family's 1533-position model. The record is from RNAcentral.